This 305-nucleotide ribosomal RNA is filed under the name uncultured bacterium. RNAcentral's name for it is "bacterial SSU rRNA". It matches the Rfam family "Bacterial small subunit ribosomal RNA", at positions 333 to 630 of the family's 1533-position model. The record is from RNAcentral.
UGCGGCCUACGGGAGGCAGCAGUAGGGAAUCUUCCACAAUGGGCGAAAGCCUGAUGGAGCAACGCCGCGUGGGUGAAGAAGGCCUUCGGAUCGUAAAACCCUGUUGUUAGAGAAGAAAGUGCGUGAGAGUAACUGUUCACGUUUCGACGGUAUCUAACCAGCAAGCCACGGCUAACUACGUGCCAGCAGCCGCGGAAAUACGUAGGUGGCAAGCGUUAUCCGGAUUUAUUGGGCGUAAAGGGAACGCAGGUGGUCUUUUAAGUCUGAUGUGAAAGCCUUCGGCUUAACCGGAGUAGUGCAUUGGA